Molecule: ribosomal RNA, 425 nt
Filed under: uncultured bacterium
Lineage: Bacteria
Description: partial 16S ribosomal RNA
Rfam family: Bacterial small subunit ribosomal RNA
Source: RNAcentral
GUGGGGAAUAUUGGACAAUGGGCGCAAGCCUGAUCCAGCCAUGCCGCGUGAGUGAUGAAGGCCUUAGGGUUGUAAAGCUCUUUCAGUGGGGACGAUAAUGACGGUACCCACAGAAGAAGCCCCGGCUAACUUCGUGCCAGCAGCCGCGGUAAUACGAAGGGGGCUAGCGUUGUUCGGAUUUACUGGGCGUAAAGCGCACGUAGGCGGAUCGUUAAGUCGGGGGUGAAAUCCUGGAGCUCAACUCCAGAACUGCCUUCGAUACUGGCGAUCUUGAGUCCGGAAGAGGUGAGUGGAACUCCUAGUGUAGAGGUGGAAUUCGUAGAUAUUAGGAAGAACUCCAGUGGCGAAGGCGGCUCACUGGUCCGGUACUGACGCUGAGGUGCGAAAGCGUGGGGAGCAAACAGGAUUAGAAACCCUUGUAGUCC